RNAcentral lists this unclassified non-coding RNA (253 nucleotides) under uncultured Halomonadaceae bacterium. RNAcentral's name for it is "contains 16S-23S intergenic spacer region". It matches the Rfam family "Bacterial small subunit ribosomal RNA", at positions 524 to 776 of the family's 1533-position model. The record is from RNAcentral. Lineage: Bacteria; Pseudomonadati; Pseudomonadota; Gammaproteobacteria; Oceanospirillales; Halomonadaceae.
UACGGAGGGUGCAAGCGUUAAUCGGAAUUACUGGGCGUAAAGCGCGCGUAGGUGGCUUGAUAAGCCGGGUGUGAAAGCCCCGGGCUCAACCUGGGAACGGCAUUCGGAACUGUCAGGCUAGAGUGCAGGAGAGGCAGGUAGAAUUCCGGGUGUAGCGGUGAAAUGCGUAGAGAUUGGGAGGAAUACCAGUGGCGAAGGCGGCUCUCUGGACUGAUACUGACACUGAGGUGCGAAAGCGUGGGGAGCAAACAGG